Molecule: ribosomal RNA, 496 nt
Filed under: uncultured bacterium
Lineage: Bacteria
Description: partial 16S ribosomal RNA
Rfam family: Bacterial small subunit ribosomal RNA
Source: RNAcentral
GAUGAACGCUGGCGGCGUGCCUAAUACAUGCAAGUCGAGCGAACAGACGAGGAGCUUGCUCCUCUGACGUUAGCGGCGGACGGGUGAGUAACACGUGGAUAACCUACCUAUAAGACUGGGAUAACUUCGGGAAACCGGAGCUAAUACCGGAUAAUAUAUUGAACCGCAUGGUUCAAUAGUGAAAGACGGUUUUGCUGUCACUUAUAGAUGGAUCCGCGCCGCAUUAGCUAGUUGGUAAGGUAACGGCUUACCAAGGCAACGAUGCGUAGCCGACCUGAGAGGGUGAUCGGCCACACUGGAACUGAGACACGGUCCAGACUCCUACGGGAGGCAGCAGUAGGGAAUCUUCCGCAAUGGGCGAAAGCCUGACGGAGCAACGCCGCGUGAGUGAUGAAGGUCUGCGGAUCGUAAAACUCUGUUAUUAGGGAAGAACAAAUGUGUAAGUAACUAUGCACGUCUUGACGGUACCUAAGCAGAAAGCCACGGCUAACUACGU